This 438-nucleotide ribosomal RNA is filed under the name Wolbachia endosymbiont of Trichogramma ostriniae. Its description in RNAcentral is "bacterial SSU rRNA". It matches the Rfam family "Bacterial small subunit ribosomal RNA", at positions 992 to 1428 of the family's 1533-position model. The record is from RNAcentral. Lineage: Bacteria; Pseudomonadati; Pseudomonadota; Alphaproteobacteria; Rickettsiales; Anaplasmataceae.
CAUACCUAUUCGAAGGGAUAGGGUCGGUUCGGCCGGAUUUUACACAAGUGUUGCAUGGCUGUCGUCAGCUCGUGUCGUGAGAUGUUGGGUUAAGUCCCGCAACGAGCGCAACCCUCAUCCUUAGUUGCUAUCAGGUAAUGCUGAGUACUUUAAGGAAACUGCCAGUGAUAAGCUGGAGGAAGGUGGGGAUGAUGUCAAGUCAUCAUGGCCUUUAUGGAGUGGGCUACACACAUGCUACAAUGGUGUCUACAAUGGGCUGCAAGGUGCGCAAGCCUAAGCUAAUCCCUAAAAGACAUCUCAGUUCGGAUUGUACUCUGCAACUCGAGUACAUGAAGUUGGAAUCGCUAGUAAUCGUGGAUCAGCAUGCCACGGUGAAUACGUUCUCGGGUCUUGUACACACUGCCCGUCACGCCAUGGGAAUUGGUUUCACUCGAAGCU